RNAcentral lists this transfer RNA (71 nucleotides) under Pseudomonadota bacterium. RNAcentral's name for it is "tRNA-Gly". It matches the Rfam family "tRNA". Rfam says of the family: Transfer RNA (tRNA) molecules are approximately 80 nucleotides in length. The record is from RNAcentral. Lineage: Bacteria; Pseudomonadati; Pseudomonadota. RNAcentral also lists the same sequence under 2 other names.
GCGGGUAUGGUGUAAUGGCAGCACACGACCCUUCCAAGGUCUUAGUUCCGAUUCGAGUUCGGAUACCCGCU